GUGGGGAAUAUUGGACAAUGGGCGAAAGCCUGAUCCAGCCAUGCCGCGUGUGUGAAGAAGGUCUUCGGAUUGUAAAGCACUUUACGUUGGGAGGAAGGGCAGUAAGUUAAUACCUUGCUGUUUUGACGUUACCGACAGAAUAAGCACCGGCUAACUUCGUGCCAGCAGCCGCGGUAAUACGAAGGGUGCAAGCGUUAAUCGGAAUUACUGGGCGUAAAGCGCGCGUAGGUGGUUUUGUAAGUUGGAGGUGAAAUCCCCGGGCUCAACCUGGGAACUGCCUGCAAAACUGCAUGACUAGAGUACGGUAGAGGGUAGUGGAAUUUCCUGUGUAGCGGUGAAAUGCGUAGAUAUAGGAAGGAACACCAGUGGCGAAGGCGACUACCUGGACUGAUACUGAUACUGAGGUGCGAAAGCGUGGGGAGCAAACAGGAUUAGAUACCCUUGUAGUCC
RNAcentral lists this ribosomal RNA (450 nucleotides) under uncultured bacterium. Its description in RNAcentral is "partial 16S ribosomal RNA". It matches the Rfam family "Bacterial small subunit ribosomal RNA", at positions 354 to 796 of the family's 1533-position model. The record is from RNAcentral.